AGUAAAGCUCAGUGGUAAAGCAUGUGUUUAGCAAGCAUAGGACCCUGAGUUCAAUUCCCAAUACU
Molecule: transfer RNA, 65 nt
Filed under: Ictidomys tridecemlineatus (thirteen-lined ground squirrel)
Lineage: Eukaryota; Metazoa; Chordata; Mammalia; Rodentia; Sciuridae
Description: Spermophilus tridecemlineatus (thirteen-lined ground squirrel) tRNA
Rfam family: tRNA
About the family: Transfer RNA (tRNA) molecules are approximately 80 nucleotides in length. Their secondary structure includes four short double-helical elements and three loops (D, anti-codon, and T loops).
Source: Rfam by way of RNAcentral